UUCCAGGGAUGGGAAUCGAACCCACAGUGUUACGCUUACCGGGCAGAUGCCAUGUCCACUAGGUUACCCUGGA
This 73-nucleotide transfer RNA is filed under the name Cordylochernes scorpioides. RNAcentral's name for it is "tRNA-Thr". The record is from RNAcentral. Lineage: Eukaryota; Metazoa; Arthropoda; Arachnida; Pseudoscorpiones; Chernetidae.